CUGGGAACCCAGUAAACAGUUCGUUAUAUGUGAACUGCAUUUCACUGCAGACGACAUUGAGAAAAUUACCAGUGCUUACGACCCAAAACUGGCAAACUCGUUACAGCACCUUUGGACCGUCCACGUUUAAAGAAACGUUCGUGAAAAUUUAUCGUAAAGGAUGCCGUACCUUCAAAGUUGCCAGGAUGAGCUACGUCUUUAUCUUUAAAACAAGCACCAGCUCGAGAAGAUCCAGAGAGUCGCGAACGUUUGGAGA
Long non-coding RNA from Schistocerca americana (American grasshopper), 256 nucleotides. RefSeq lists it as uncharacterized. The record is from RefSeq and is a predicted model, not a curated record. The transcript has 3 exons. Lineage: Eukaryota; Metazoa; Arthropoda; Insecta; Orthoptera; Acrididae.